UCCUAGUUAACCUAGGCAGUCUCACUAGAGUCCCCACCUUACGUGUUGGCAACUAAUGAUAAGGGUUGCGCUCGUUGCGGGACUUAACCCAACACCUCACGGCACGAGCUGACGACAGCCAUGCAGCACCUAUAUAAUAGUCCUUGCGGAAAAGUACAUUUCUGUACUCGCCCAUUACAUUUCGAGCCUGGGUAAGGUUCUUCGCGUUGCAUCGAAUUAAACCACAUGCUCCACUGCUUGUGCGGGCCCCCGUCAAUUCUUUUGAGUUUCACCCUUGCGAGCGUACUCCCCAGGCGGUAUACUUAUCGCGUUAGCUACGACACAGUCAGGGUUGAGCCUAACUACAUCAAGUAUACAUCGUUUACGGCAAGGACUAC
This 377-nucleotide unclassified non-coding RNA is filed under the name uncultured Simkaniaceae bacterium. RNAcentral's name for it is "contains 16S-23S intergenic spacer region". Lineage: Bacteria; Pseudomonadati; Chlamydiota; Chlamydiia; Parachlamydiales; Simkaniaceae. The record is from RNAcentral.